Long non-coding RNA from Alexandromys fortis (reed vole), 11504 nucleotides. RefSeq lists it as uncharacterized. The transcript has 3 exons. The record is from RefSeq and is a predicted model, not a curated record. NCBI's taxonomy places the organism in Eukaryota, Metazoa, Chordata, Mammalia, Rodentia, Cricetidae.
AAGAAAACGUGGAAAAAGUGAGCGGAAUCCAUCGGCCAAGGAGCCAAGCCGAGUACGCUGGUUGGCUUUGUAGUUUUCUCCAGGGAGCAUGUGGCCAGGUUCAGGUCAUGCGCAGAUGGACUAUGGACUGUGUUAGGGAAUGUACUUCUAUCUUAGAGUAUGGUGCAACGUUCUGUUUGGAUACAAGCUAACUCCUAAUACCCUGCUCCCCGGAGGACAAAGGUGAGCAGAAUCACUCAGAGAUCAAUCUACCUUGCAGACCUCACUUGCCAUGGAAGAGCAAAUGGUGCUUUUCCCCCCUAACGUUUUACUGAUUUGCUUGGUGUGGUGGGAGAGAGCUGGCAAUGCCACACGUGGAGGGGGAGCCUGCUUCUCUCCUGCCGUGUAGACCCAGGGGACUGACCGCUGGUGGUCAGGCUUGGUGUCCAUUGCCCUCACUGAGCCCUUCCGCCAGCCCUCGAUAGGUGCUUUCUUCCCUGUUGUAAACCAUCUAAACAUACAGCUCACUUCUUCCAACUUCUAUGGCUUCUCUUUCCUUCCCCAGCUAGUUGGAGCCAUCUAGAGAAAUUCACCUCUCCCAAAGCAAAAAAAUCCACAUAGAAAGCAGAGAAAAAUUCCUAUAGGUCACAGAAUGGGGGCCAUUCAGAGUAGGGCCCAGGGCUCCCCGAAACAAUGACUGAGGUCCACAUGGCAGUAGUUUUCCUCUAUCUUAGUUUGUUUACAAACAGAUGUCCUCAACGUCUUUCCUGUGUAGGUCCACAGGCCCUCAGGUUACUUCACACAGUCAGGAGGCACCUGUCACCCAGUGACACCCCUGUCACCUUGCUUCCUUGCCCAGCAGCUCCAUCUAGCAGCAGACAUCCUUGGCCACUUGCACCAGGCCAUGACCUUCUUCUAGAACGCUAUAUGCCUCAAGGUGCAUACCUGCCCAACCAGACUCUUUGGUGGUUUAACCAGAUGUCAAAAUAAAAGCUCAGCUAUAUACACCUCCUUAGCCCAGUCACCCAUAAAAAUUAUCCACUUGAAAUGAUAGAGAAAAGUGACGUCACCAGCCAGACAACAGCUUUUCUUUGCGAAGAGUUUUGCGAAAAUCCUACAUCUGCUGGGUGUCAGGGAACUGAGAAGUGCAAACAAGAACCACAGAGGAACGGGACGAGGUCUCUGUGCUCAAGGUUGUUUGUGCCUCUCUGGGAAGUUGCAGGAGGUAAACCUUAAAACUGGACAAGUGCAGGAAAAUCUCAGCCUUGGUUUUGUUUUCUUUAGUGGAACCUGUAGAUGGGUUUUUCUUUGGGCCACCAGCUCCAAAAAAUGACACGGAAACUUAUUAAUUACAGAAGCUUGGCCUACAGCUUAGGCUUGUCCCGCUCGCUCUUAUAACUUAAAUCAACCCAUUUCUAUUCACCAACGUGUUGCCACAUGACUCGUGGCUUUUACAUCUCCUCCUGCAUGUCUUGCUCCCUCUGCCUUGGGCAGGCAACUUGUCCUUUGUUCUUCCCAGAGCUCUGUCCCCAGAAGUCCUGCCUAACCUCUUUCUGGCUAGCUAAUGGCCAUUCAGCUCUAGUGGCCACAGUUAACACAGUAUAGGAACAUUCCACAACAAGAACUUUCUUGAAAACACACUUUCUGAGAUGCACGAUGUAAUGUAGUGGUGAGUUCUGCUUCUGCACAGCUGUAGGGUCCUGCAGGGAAAAUCUUCUUAGGCUAAAACUAAGGUUCUGCUGGACACCCCAUCAAUGCCCUGAAGGUACUCAAGAUCACAGGACAGAAAACAGAACACGUAGGAAGGGUGGGUUUUGGAAGAGAGGAUGGUGUUGGGUUUUCCCCUCCCCAAUGAUUUUUAGUUUGAGAGAGACCUGAUGCCAGUGUCUGUGACAACCUGGAAAGAGUACUUGCCCUUUGUCCCAAUUCCUGACUUAAAUGAGCUGAGCUUCUCGGAAUUUCCAGGAUAAGAAUACCUUUGUAUGCUCAUGAGCUGACUGCUGGUUAGUGGUCUCUACACAGCUUCAGGACCAAGGAUGGUCACGUGAAAGCCAAAGCAAGGCUGGAAGGUGGGCAGGGGAGCUCCUGCCCUUCUGCUCAUCUCACCCUGUGUAUUUUCCCCGCCUAUUCAUUCAUUAGCAUCUUCUGUAGUAUCAUUUAUGAUCAAUGGGAAGAACAGGUGAAGUCUUCCUCUAGGUUCCUGGAGCUAGCUGCCCUAGCAGAUUAUAGAAUCCGAGCAGAAGUCAUGGGAACAUUUAACACACAGACUGUUUGGUCAAGAGUUCUGGAGGUCCAGGCUCAGGGACCUGAGGUUUGAGACAGACCUCCGAUAAUGGGGCUGAGCCUUUAAACCGAGAACUCUGAUUCUAUGUCCAGGUAGAUGAUGUCGGAUUAAAUUAGAUGAGAAGAUUCAUGGCUGCUGUCUCCUGGAGAAUCUGCCGAGGCUAGCCGGGGUGGAGUGAAGGGAAACAGCUUGGAUCCCUGAAGGCUCCCAGGCACUUAGCGGAGUGCUGCAUAGACAGGAAGGAAGGCACUUCGGUGUGCACUGUUCUAAGAGCUGUGGGGACGGCAGGCAGGAAAUUCUCAGAGCUGGAAAUGUUCUUAGUUCUAUGGCCAAGUUUUGUCCUUGCUUCAAGUCACAUAUGCCAGAAGGGUUCAGGGCAUCUGUCCCCAUCUGGAUUCUUGAUAUCUUUUUCCUUUUACACAGAUGCCUAGAAGCUGUACAUGAAAGUGUGACUGAACCUCCAGUCCAAGGCACCACCACUGAUUGCUCCUGGUGAAGAGCUCUGGGACUGAUCUGGCCUGCCAGUACUCAUGUGGCCCUCCUGCAGUCCAACACCGUCUAGCCGAGCUCCCUUAUCGCCUUCCAAGGCCUGAGAGUCAUCACGGGUGGAGAUCCUAAACCCUUAAUGACUCUGAUGAAGACUGAACAAUAACAAGUGUCGGCGAGAACGUGGAGAUGGCGGGACCCCUGGACACCCGCCAGAGCAGGAAGCACAGCUACGAUGGAAGAUGGCUCAGAACUUCUUACAAAAGCUAAGGCCAGAAACCCACGGCUGAGCAUGGGCACACGGGAAAUGCCUUGAUGCUCAGUUCCAUGAGCCUGGACGGACGGAGGGGAAGCGGGUGCAUUCAAACGUGCCCCCCGCCACACACACACUGUAGGAACCCACAUGGCACUGGAAGAGGGACACAGCUUGAAAUCACUCAUCUGAGAGGGUAGAAUGCUGUCCCUUGGUCUGAAAACAAAACCGUCUCUGGGCUUAGUAGCUCUGCCGAUACUGUUUUCGGACGUGCCCUUCCCGGCAUGUCCUUUGUCUGCAGCCUGGUUACUUAUCACAGGAGAUAUACACUAUACCUCAGGAGACACAUGGUAUUUACAGUCUGGAACAGGGACGAAUGCAUAAUCCCUCAACUAAACAUCACGGCCCAAGGCGUCAGUCACCCUUUCUUCCCACCAGAUUCGAUAUGCUAGGUUUUACGAAAUUAGAGAAUGCCAGAGAAAGUGCAUAUCAGCGUCACUGUAACACAACCCAGGCCUAGUGGCUAGAUUCUUCCAGCACGCUCAAGACCCUCACACUGGUAUUUCAGUUUGCCUACUUCGAUUUUCCUACACGUCUCAGAGGCCAAAGGGGAAGAAGUGUCUAUGAGCUGGCCAAAGCUCUUCUGAAUCACCCAGCCUUUUGCUGCUAAGGAAAAGCUAAGUUCUGGUUUCACAGAGAAAGCAGCACAGGUUCAAAAUUGGUUCUUAAAUGUCUUGGUAAGUUUUACUUAAUGAAGGUUCCUCGGAAGCCCCCGAUUGGUUCUGACAUUAUUUUUAUGGUUUUGAGACAAGGACUCACGUAGCCUAGGCAGGCCCUGAACUCACUAUGUAGCUGAGGUAAGCCUUGAACUCCUAACCCUCCAUUGUUUACCAACACUCUGGGCUUUGGUUUCGAGAUUGAACACAACACAUUGCUAACUAGCUUAAACACAGACUAAUUUAGAGACCUGAAAUUAGUGUCAGGCAAUGGCUCUUUUGACUUUGCUGCGAUCUGGCUGGAAGCAGCCGGUGACUAGACACUCUUUCACUGUCCCCUUAAUCCUGGGAUUUCAGUGUUCUGCUCCAGGGUUCACGUGCUAUGCUGAAGUCUCAGGAUGUUGUCCAGAUUCCCAUGAGGGCAGGUCAACUGUGGCCUGCAUUUCACAGGCCACAUGGAAUGACGGGGGAGGAGAAGGCUAGAAGAAAAACGCAUGGCAAAAACAGACUGUCAAGCAAAACACCGCAGCCUCUCUAGAAUGCUUCACUCCCUUCAACUCAAACCACUCUCCCAUGGCAAGGGCCAGGCCCCCUAGAGAAAUGCCCUCCUUCAGAUCUGGAGCAGGAAAUGUACAACGCGACCUUGAAAACCUCUGAGUAUUAUUAGCAUUGGGUCAAAACCCUGUGGCCUCCCAAAGAUGGCUUUGCUCAUCAAAUAAAUGAUGAUGGAGAUGAUGCGGAUGUCUGUGUAGGAGGAGCCUGCUCAACCGCAGCCAAUCAGGUGCAGAUGUUAAGGAAGCCUUCAGGACAGAUGGCCAGUUUCCUUGACAAACAGCAAUCAGAAGGGGUGGGGUUAUGAGGUCCCUCAGUUUGGUCCCCAGGACUGAAGGAGGUGAGUAGCAGUUGUAGAUGAAAGAUGGAAGGCACAGAGGUAAGUCAGCGGCGGAGUUCUUCCAUUCUGAUCUGCACAUAGUACCAAUAGGCAUUUACAGACAACCAGGGAAGCCUGGACACUUCACCUAGUGGGUGACAUCAAGAAAUUGUUCUAAGAAGGGCAGUGGUAGCACUCUCUUAAUCCCAGCACUCAGGGAGGCAGAGACAGGCGGAUCUCUGUGAGUUCGAGGCCAGCCUAAUCUAUAGAGUGAGUUCCAGCAGGACAGCCAGAGAUACAUAGAGAAACCUUGUCUUAAAAAAACAAAAUUAAAUAGAUAAAUAAAUAAAAUAAAAAAGAAAUUGUUUGUUAUCUUCUUCUGAUGAUGUCGCAUUUAAGGGAAAGGAGUCUGAUAUCUAGGGCUGUGUGUGGAUUUAAGGAUGUGUAUUUAAUAUACUUGUAAAAUUUAUAUCUCUAUUUAAUAAUAAAGUAAUAUAUUUAAGGACAGAUCUUGAGAACUGUUUGGAGGUGGCAGGGAGUGCUGUUACUCAAAUACCAGUCCUCUUUCUUCAAGUAAGGUCCUGCAGGGAGAUAGUCUUGGGAGGGACACACACAGCGGAGGGAGGGAGGGAGGGGGGACAUCCCCUAGCCAUUCCAGAGCCAAUAAAUCGGCUGUGGUGAGGCUCAGGCUAAUGGAGUCCUCUUGGACAGAUCAUCCUCACAUCCUGCAUUUAAGAAUGAAGUUAGGUAGCUGGGUGGUGGACACCUUUAAUCGCGGCACUCAGGAGGGAGGCAGAAGCAGUCAGAUCUCUGUGAGUUUGAGGCCAGUCUGGUCUACAAAGUGAGUUCUAGGGUAGCCAGGAUCGUUACACAGAGAAACCCUGUCUCGAAAAGCCAAUAAAAACAUUUUUUAAAAAUUAUGUGUGCGCAUACAUGUGUGCAUGUGUCUUGUGUGUUUCUGUGUGUGUGCGUAGGUGAAUGAGAGGAUGCCUUCCCUAGACCUAGUUGUGGGUCACCUGACAUGGAUACUGAGAGUCAAAGCUGUCCUCCACGAGAGAAGUACAUGCUCUUAACUGCUGAGCCAUCUCUCCAGCCCUAAACAGAAGUAUUUUUGUUUCUGUUUUUCUUUUGUCUUAGUUCUGAGGGAGGGGAAAGCUGUUAAAUAUUCUUAUGAACACAGCUUUACAUUUAUAGAAAUCAUUUGUUAUGACAUUUGAUUUAUUAUUUUAAGACGGGGUCUCAUUUGGCUAGCCCAGAACUUGCUACGUAGACCAGGCAGUCCCGAAACUCAUAGAGAUCUGCAUACUUGUGCCUACAGAGUGCUGGGAUUAGAAGUCAGUGUUACCACAACUGCCUAGUACUAACAUUUUAAAGACCAUGAAGAAAUUGGUAUGUGGGCCGAGAAACCCACAAACCCUCACGUCUUGAAUACCCACUCCAUACCAGACACUUCUGCCUUUACCUCAUGUCUGUGAGAUAAACAUUCUAACCUUAUUUUAUAAAUGAUAAUACAGAGGCACAGAGAAGCUAACUAUUCAAGAUCAUACAGCUAGCUAGUGGAAAAGCCAAGACUUGAAUUUAGACAUCAAGACUUAAUACCCUUUGACCACAAUGACCCAUCCUGUCCUUUAUUUUUCAGGUGUUUUAUGUUUAUUUUGGGGACAAAGUCUUCCCGUUGCUUGGGAAUUCUGGAGUUCAUGGUUUUGGCUAGGUACCAACCCCUGUCCACGACUCAGCCCUCACAGACAUGUGUGGGAAACAGAGAAACAUCCACAGAUGGUCAGUGAAAAACAACCUCUGCAUGUGUGUAUAGGUGUGUAUGUGCAUGUAUAUGUAAGGGCAACCAUGUGUGUGCACGUAGAGCCUAGAGUAGGCCAUCGAGAGCCAUUAUCUAUUGCUCUCUGCGGUGUUGCUCUUAGACAGAGUUCCUCAAUGAACAGGCAGCUCUCCAUUUUGGCUAGACAGGCAGACUGGCCGGAGAGCUCUCAUGAUUCUCCUAUUUCUGUCAUUGGAUGCUGAGGCUGGGUGCUUGUGACUCGAACUCAGGUUCUCCUGUUUGCACAGCAAGUACUCUUACUUACUGAACACCAUUCUCGCCAGACCCCACAAUCAAAUCUUUAAAUCAGUAAGGCAGGGUGCAAGGCAGAAUGCCCUGGAGGCUGUCUGUCUGGCACACCCUGGGGUUUUCAGGCAGGCCAGCUACAGGAAGUCAUUAUGGUGUGUCCAAGGCACAGGGAUGUGCACACAAGUCUGUCAGGCUCUUACCUAUGGUGCCUGGAGGCAGGAGACAGAGGUGGGGUUAGGGGAUGCUCACAGGCCUCCCUGAGAGCCACUGGGAUUCCCUAACCUUUGACUUUCCUCAUCCCUGCUGGUCUGUUCUCUGCCUUCAAUCACCAUCCCCAAGGUUCCUGUCCCAGGAAAGCUCUGUCUAGACUCAACAGUGAUGUAAAGACCAAUUCACAGUCAGGGAUCCCCAGCCCCUCUAAGACUGCACUGUCUUCCUACGUCAGUUCUUCUGCAAUCAGUGGAUCUGAACUGCAAGAAUGGGUCCUAGAUAAGAUAGAGAUUCAAGAGUGGUCCUUCCGAGAAAGCCGGGCUCUUCUGGCAAGGCCGUGAUUUUGCUCUUUAGGGACGAUUCCCUGUCCCAGACGUGCUAGGUUUAAAUUCCAGUAGAAACUGAGCAGCGCCUCAACUGGAGGAUUCCAAUAAGUUUUCACAGUAUUUAUUUUUAUUUGCAAUUGUGUGUAUUGCGUGCCUGUGGGGUGGGUGUAUGCACGAGUGUGGGUGCCCUCGGAGGCCUGGGGUAGCUAAUCCCCCUGGGGCUGGACUCACAGGCGGCUGUGAUUUGGGUGCUGGGAACCACAGUUCCAUCCUCUACAAGAGCACUGUGCAUUCUUAACUACUGAGACAUCUUUCCACCCUCCUAGGCGUUUUGUUGGGUUUUGUUUUAUUUUAACUGGAACAGUGUGGAGAAAGGAUAGCGCAUGGUAAAGGCGAGCGCGUCUCGGCAAACUCUGCUUUGUAUGUGUUAUACAACACGGGUGUCAUGUAUGUUCUUGUAUACACUCCAAGUGUGCCUAACGCAAAAUGUAUUUCUUAUUCUUAUGGUUGGUUAGGGAAAAAAAAUCACUUUUUCUGUAGUACUCUGAAACUCGAGUAGCAAUUUGUCACAAACUUUGAACACACGUUCUCUAAUGUCCUUUCCUAAAGCUACACAGGUUUGUUUUUCUACACGCAAAUCACAGGUUAGUUCUGCAGUUUAAGACAGCGAGGUUACUUUCGAGAGCAAAUGAUGCAUGCACAGCUAUAAAGGAUUUGUAGGAUACCUUAGGAUGCAGGACGAAACCCUUCAUUUCAGAACCAGGGGCAUAGUGACGCAUGCCUGUAAUUCUAGCACUUGGUAGGCUGAGGCAGGUGAACUAUGAGUUUAAUGCCAGCCUGUGCUGCUCAGCAAACCCUGCUUCAAAAAACCGGCAGGCCUGGAGAGAUGACUCGGAAUAAAAGUGCUUGUUGCCCAAGCAUGAGUUCCCAUGGCGGCAUUCUUAUAUGACUGUUAUCCUAGGACUGUGUGUGUGUGUGUUCAUGAGAGUGUGUGUGUGGGAUCACUGGGGCCUGCUGGCACAGGCUUGCAUACCCCCGCCCCAACUUGGUAACUCUAGUGGGUUUGGCAGAGAAUGGCAAGGUCACAGUUGGAGGACAAACCUGCGGAAGGAAUCCCGGAAAUCACCUGGCUCACCGGGAGUGCCGUUUACUCUACAAUUCUACCAAGAGGGAGGGCAAAGCCGAAUAAAAGAAGCCACAAACCAGAGAAGACCGGCUUUAGAAAGCAAAGUCUGACACACCUCACAGUUCCCGACACUGUCCUGGUGACAGUGUGUUCCUACUGGGUCCCGUGGAAGCAGAUCCUGGGAGCUUAGGAAUCCUAGUGAAUGGAUUUGUCCCCAGAAACACAGCCACGUGUGGAUGGUGAAAUCCUGAGAAGAGGUAGAGCACAGAUAGAAAAAGCAAACCGGCCGUGGGAGAAGGCAGGUGAAAGGAGGCCUAAGCACUGACUCUCACAGGAGUCCCAGGGUUCCUUCCGUGAUGGUAGCUGCUGGAACAAGGCAAAGGAAGUGGUAACUGCACCAGACUUCCAGGCGGAUGACUGUAUGUUCUGAGGAUUUCAUCUCAAUCGAAAGAAAUAAUAUAAGGAGGGAGAUAAGGUGUGGGAAAUAAACAAAAAGACACAGACAGACUGACAGACAGGAGAAAGGGACGUGGGCCCCAAAUGAGGAGAGUUACAUACAACCCAGGUUGUUAGAAAUCCGGGUGUCCGGGAGCCCCAUUAUGGCUUAGAACCCAGGUAAGCUCCAGUUUGACAGGGGCAAAAGAGACAUGAGUAAGGGGGGUGGGGAGGAUGGGAAGAGAUGUUCUGAACAGCAACAAGUCCUGGGCUCUGAAAAGAGCGAGUCCAUAGGACAGCCAGCCAGGAGCAGCUAGCACAGGCGCACAUCCAGAUACCAGUUCUGGGUAAAGGGGCGUAGGAAGCUGAGGGAAGGCCAAGAGACCUUGGGUGACACGGGGAAAGAAGCCAGAGAAGGCAUACAGUCUCGAGGGAAGAUAGAGUGAAGAACGUAUAAAAGGGGUGCUGGUGGGGGUGUGUGUGUCUUCUACAGGGACCCCUCACUUCUUGCUGAGGAACCAGGCUUGGCCUCUGAAAUACCAAUGCAUUUUGCCACAAUUACCAUCAACUAUUUCCAAACUUUUUAUUUUUAAUUUUUUUUUUUUACCUUCUAUCUCUUAUAAACUUCACAAGCAUCACCCUUCACCCUUUAACACUCUCCUUCUUUAAUAAAUACAAGUCAUCGAACCUAAACUACCUGCCCCGAGGGUAAACUGCUUAAUGCGCUCACACGCUUUUCAACAAAUAUCUGUAGAACAUUUGUCCCAGAUACCAUGGGGAUAAACGGAAGUUCAUGACUUUGGCAAGGGCGACGAGACAGAGUGACAAGGCAGGAAAUGACAAGAUGCCGAAACCGAGAGAAAAGCCGGGACAGGUGGGCAAGGCUGAAGGGAGCCUUGUGGAUACUCCUGCAGCAAGAGAAGAUUCAGGAUGGGGAGACAGUGUCGGACUUGCCAGUGUUUCAGGACAGGAACCGUUUACAGUUGCUGGUAUGCAGUGGUAAUGAGAAGCAGAUUUAUUUUUGGUUGAUUUUAUUUGUGAGUUCACUUACAGCAUGCACCCAACGUGGGCGGACCGCUCCUAUAACCAUUCCCUGAUGGCAGGUCACUGAGCCUCUCCGGGCUUCGGUUUUGGAACCAGCAAAAGAGGUUAAAUCCUCUUCUUAACAUAGAGAUUGUUUAAGAGGGUGGGAAGCAACGACGUGGGUAAGAAUUCUGCCCAGCCACUUUGCUCGCAUCUCUCUCUCUCUCUCUCUCUCUCCCCUUACUCCCUCCCUCUCUCUGUGUCUCCUUCUCAUCCCCUUUCUUCCUUCCCUAUUAAGUGUCUCCAGAACCCCGCGUGGAUAAGCCAACUCUUGUUCAGUAGUCUUUCUGCUUCUGCUGGGGCUUUUCUAUCCCUCCUAUAAGGAAGAGAAUUUAGAAGAGGCCUCUGACUUCACUCCCUUAAGGUGCCCAAAAUCCUCUAUGAGGACUCCACUAAGGAAACACUGAUCUGCCUGGGGUGGUUGGGCAUUGCCCAAAUCUCAAGGUCUGUAUUUUCAAAAGGCUUGUCCCAAAAUAAAACUGAGAGAGUAACAAAGUUAUGUGACACGGAAUCUCUGCAUUUUUCCAUUCCUCCCCACAAAUGAUUGAGGAUGGCUACCCACAGGCAGGCAGGCUGGCUAGUUGCUGCUAAACUUGGGGGCCCUGUUUGGGGCACUGCAUUUUCCCCAGGAGCAUCACUCAAGCCCACACCAAGCAAGGACAGAGAACACGCAACACCCUACUCUUUGUUACCUCUUAAUCCUGGUCUUUGGGAGCAUGGGAGUACACAUUCUUUCAGCGAUAACAAAAACCCCCCGAACAAAAACCCACUAGAUUUUCUUCAGCCUGAAAGCCACGACUAGAGGUUCCUACCACAUUAUCCCUACGAAGAAAUCCAAAACCAUUUCCCUAACUUUCCAAUUAGGAACUUUACAGGCAAUGCCUCCUCUACUUUGGAGAAAGGAUUUGAUGAAAUAGAGAAAAUAUUUGAUGAAAUAAAUUGACCAAAUGAAUUUACUUGGUCAAGCAGGCGGAUGCUUAAAACACACGGUUAACAACAAAUGUACUGGAGGCAACUUCUCUGCCACAGAUGAUAAAUUCCAUUGUGAAAAACCGAGACUAGAUAGUUUCUAGGAGAGCCUGAUUCCUAGGAGGGGUCCCUCUUCUCGACCCAGAGGAACAAGUUCAGAUAACAAAGACACCCGCUCCACACCCCCUAUGUCCUGAUAUCACCGUCACCUCCUGGGUACUAGGCCGAGCUGGGGACUACCAGUCUUUAUCGUCUUUAUUUAAUGCUUAUGGGUUUUUCUUUUACACCACCCUUCCUUCCUUGCAAAUCAAGCGAGAAAAAGAGAGUUCCAACAAAGCAAAACUUAAGCCGGAGUGGUUCCACCUCACAACCAAAGCACCCGUUCACGAGACCCUUUCUUUCUGGAGGUGGUCUUGCAAAACAGGCCACACAAUAACAACAAAUGCGCUGGCGGAGGCUGCUCCGGAGCCCUGGGCCCCUCCUCCGGAUCUAAAACCCAGUGGCCUGCGGGCUGCACUCCCCAAAACCGAGUCCAAAGGAGCACCGGCCGUGAUGGGGCAGGAAGGGGAUGUGUCUGGGGAAACUCUAGAUCUUGGCUCAAAUGCCUGUUUGGCUCCUGGGGGAAGCUGAGGCAGGGUUGCAGACAGGCGUACCCCCGCGCGAAGCAGGCGCAACCUUACUUCUGAUACCCCCCCACUAGC